GUCCACGCCCUAAACGAUGUCAACUAGUUGUCGGGGAAGUUAUUCCUUGGUAACGAAGCUAACGCGUGAAGUUGACCGCCUGGGGAGUACGGCCGCAAGGUUAAAACUCAAAGGAAUUGACGGGGACCCGCACAAGCGGUGGAUUAUGUGGAUUAAUUCGAUGCAACGCGAAAAACCUUACCUACCCUUGACAUGUACGGAAGCUCGCAGAGAUGUGAGUGUGCCCGAAAGGGAACCGUAACACAGGUGCUGCAUGGCUGUCGU
RNAcentral lists this ribosomal RNA (264 nucleotides) under uncultured bacterium. Its description in RNAcentral is "partial 16S ribosomal RNA". It matches the Rfam family "Bacterial small subunit ribosomal RNA", at positions 793 to 1055 of the family's 1533-position model. The record is from RNAcentral.